RNAcentral lists this ribosomal RNA (774 nucleotides) under uncultured Neocallimastigales. RNAcentral describes it as "partial large subunit ribosomal RNA". It matches the Rfam family "Eukaryotic large subunit ribosomal RNA", at positions 23 to 616 of the family's 3401-position model. The record is from RNAcentral. Lineage: Eukaryota; Fungi; Neocallimastigomycota; Neocallimastigomycetes; Neocallimastigales.
AGAGAGAGACAUGCGCGCAUAUCAAUAAGCGGAGGAAAAGAAACUAACAAGGAUUCCCCUAGUAACGGCGAGUGAAGCGGGAAGAGCUCAAAUUUGAAAUCUUAAAGGGUUUCCCUUUACGAAUUGUAGUUUAAAGAAGUGUUUUCUGUUGAGGUUUUGGUAAAAGUUCUUUGGAAUAGGACAUCAUAGAGGGUGAGAAUCCCGUAUUUGACCUUUACUUUCAACCUUGUGAUACACUUUCAAAGAGUCGGAUUGUUUGGGAAUGCAGUCCAAAAUGGGUGGUAAAUUUCAUCUAAAGCUAAAUAUUGGCGAGAGACCGAUAGCGAACAAGUACCGUGAGGGAAAGAUGAAAAGAACUUUGAAAAGAGAGUUAAACAGUACGUGAAAUUGUCAAAAGGGAAGCGUUUGACACCAGUGUUGUUUUUCUGAAAAUCAAUUAAAGAACUGUUUAUGCUAAGUUGUUUAGACUUUAUCAGCUAACUGUUUAGUUUUGAGCUUUUCUUUAAUGCACUUUUCAGUUAACAAGUCAACAUCAAUUUCUUUUGCUGUAAAAAAGCUUGAGGAAGGUGGCUUGAGAUUCGUCUUAAGUGUUUAUAGCCUCUUGCCUAUGCAGUCGGAGAGAUUGAGGUCUGCAGCGUAGAUCCUUCGGGGCUAAAUGCAUUUGUGCUAAGUUAUAGCAUUUUAUAGACAACUUGUUGACUAUGAUUUGUCUUGUAGCUUACUCGCUUAUGUUAUUUUACCUACGCUUAGGAUGUUGAGCGCAUGUCUCUCUCU